Non-coding RNA from Crucibulum laeve, 95 nucleotides. NCBI's taxonomy places the organism in Eukaryota, Fungi, Basidiomycota, Agaricomycetes, Agaricales, Nidulariaceae. The record is from the annotation of a GenBank genome assembly.
GGCCUGGUGGUGUAUGGCGCACAUUUGCCGAACAUCAACAUUCACUAGCUGUGUUCCGUGAGCAUAGGGAUCUGGUUCGAACCCAGACUAGGUCA